GAUGAACGCUGGCGGCGUGCUUAACACGUGCAAGUCGAACGGGAAACCUUUUAUUGAAGCUUCGGCAGAUUUAGCUGGUUUCUAGUGGCGGACGGGUGAGUAACGCGUGGGUAACCUGCCUUAUACAGGGGGAUAACAGUCAGAAAUGGCUGCUAAUACCGCAUAAGCGCACAGAGCUGCAUGGCUCAGUGUGAAAAACUCCGGUGGUAUAAGAUGGACCCGCGUUGGAUUAGCUGGUUGGUGGGGGAACGGCCCACCAAGGCGACGAUCCAUAGCCGGCCUGAGAGGGUGAACGGCCACAUUGGGACUGAGACACGGCCCAGACUCCUACGGGAGGCAGCAGUGGGGAAUAUUGCACAAUGGGGGAAACCCUGAUGCAGCGACGCCGCGUGAAGGAAGAAGUAUCUCGGUAUGUAAACUUCUAUCAGCAGGGAAGAUAAUGACGGUACCUGACUAAGAAGCCCCGGCUAACUACGUG
RNAcentral lists this ribosomal RNA (478 nucleotides) under uncultured bacterium. Its description in RNAcentral is "partial 16S ribosomal RNA". It matches the Rfam family "Bacterial small subunit ribosomal RNA", at positions 28 to 507 of the family's 1533-position model. The record is from RNAcentral.